This is a long non-coding RNA of Olea europaea var. sylvestris, 874 nucleotides long. RefSeq lists it as uncharacterized. The transcript has 3 exons. NCBI's taxonomy places the organism in Eukaryota, Viridiplantae, Streptophyta, Magnoliopsida, Lamiales, Oleaceae. The record is from RefSeq and is a predicted model, not a curated record.
AGUUAAUUGAUGACUGUGUACAAGAGAACUCUGAUAUAGGAAAUUCGAAAAGGUUUUUGAAAUGUCACCCAACUAUUUCCUGUUUGGUUUUAUGUACAUAUAAUAAUAUACUUUGUAAAUUGAAUUGGCCUUCUAAACUUGAAGUGGAUUUGUGUCUAUGAAAAUGUGCUGUCGAGUCUGUUCAUUGGGGACCCUUUCUUUGAGCGAAGUCGAAGUGGACUGUAGAACAAUGAAGGUUUAAAAGUAUUUAGCAUAUGACCAUGUGUCCUGCAGUCCAUGAUGUUUGCUUUACUUGAUUAUUGGAUAUUAGUUCUUUACCUUUGUAAAAUAACUUUCUUUUUCGUAUUUGAGUGACUAUCUACUUGAACGGCUUUUUGUUACUUCUAAAUUCAGGAUGAAAGGGAACUUAAAAGACAGAGAAGAAAGCAGUCAAACCGGGAAUCUGCUCGCCGAUCCAGAUUGCGCAAGCAGGCAGAAUGCGAUGAGCUGGCCCAGCGUUCUGCAGUUUUAGAAGAAGAAAAUGCUUCUCUUAGAGCAGAAGCGGCUCAAAUAAGGAGCCAGUAUGAGCUGCUUCGUACUCAGAAUGCAUCUCUGAAGGAGAAACUCGGUGAAAGUUCCAGUCAGGAUGAUCCAAGGCACAGUUGGCAUUCCGGACAAGCAGAUAACCAGCAGAGUGGGGAAUGAGUUUUUGAGAACGAGUGGCUUAACCUAACUCGUAGUGACAGGAAGUGGAACUCCCAAAAUUAGGUGAGCCUGUGUAGUUGAAAAUUCUAUCAAAACUGACCAUUUUAGUCUCAAAAAUUGUUUAUCAAAUAUCACCCAUUAUUCUCCGUUUGACCAAUCUUUGAUGGUCGAAGAAUCCAGAUAUCGUCCA